GAUGAACGCUGGCGGCGUGCCUAAUACAUGCAAGUCGAGCGAACAGAUGAGGAGCUUGCUCCUCUGACGUUAGCGGCAGACGGGUGAGUAACACGUGGAUAACCUACCUAUAAGACUGGGAUAACUUCGGGAAACCGGAGCUAAUACCGGAUAAUAUAUUGAACCGCAUGGUUCAAUAGUGAAAGACGGUUUUGCUGUCACUUAUAGAUGGAUCCGCGCCGCAUUAGCUAGUUGGUAAGGUAACGGCUUACCAAGGCAACGAUGCGUAGCCGACCUGAGAGGGUGAUCGGCCACACUGGAACUGAGACACGGUCCAGACUCCUACGGGAGGCAGCAGUAGGGAAUCUUCCGCAAUGGGCGAAAGCUUGACGGAGCAACGCCGCGUGAGUGAUGAAGGUCUUCGGAUCGUAAAACUCUGUUAUUAGGGAAGAACAAAUGUGUAAGUAACUAUGCACGUCUUGACGGUACCUAAUCAGAAAGCCACGGCUAACUACGUG
Molecule: ribosomal RNA, 497 nt
Filed under: uncultured bacterium
Lineage: Bacteria
Description: partial 16S ribosomal RNA
Rfam family: Bacterial small subunit ribosomal RNA
Source: RNAcentral